GACGAACGCUGGCGGCGUGCUUAACACAUGCCAGUCGAACGGAAAGGCCCUGCUUUUGUGGGGUGCUCGAGUGGCGAACGGGUGAGUAACGCGUGAGUAACCUGCCCUUGACUUUGGGAUAACUUCAGGAAACUGGGGCUAAUACCGGAUAGGAGCUCCUGCUGCAUGGUGGGGGUUGGAAAGUUUCGGCGGUUGGGGAUGGACUCGCGGCUUAUCAGCUUGUUGGUGGGGUAGUGGCUUACCAAGGCUUUGACGGGUAGCCGGCCUGAGAGGGUGACCGGCCACAUUGGGACUGAGAUACGGCCCAGACUCCUACGGGAGGCAGCAGUGGGGAAUAUUGCACAAUGGGCGGAAGCCUGAUGCAGCGACGCCGCGUGCGGGAUGACGGCCUUCGGGUUGUAAACCGCUUUCGCCUGUGACGAAGCGUGAGUGACGGUAAUGGGUAAAGAAGCACCGGCUAACUACGUG
Molecule: ribosomal RNA, 468 nt
Filed under: uncultured bacterium
Lineage: Bacteria
Description: partial 16S ribosomal RNA
Rfam family: Bacterial small subunit ribosomal RNA
Source: RNAcentral